CCUACGGGUGGCAGCAGUGGGGAAUAUUGCACAAUGGGGGAAACCCUGAUGCAGCGACACCGCGUGAGUGAAGAAGGAUUUCGGGACGGAAAGCUCUAUCAGCAGGGAAGAAAAUGACGGUACGUGAGUAAGAAGGCCCGGCGAACGACGUGCAAGCAGCCGCGGUAAUCCGUAGGGGGCAAGCGUUAUCCGGAUUUACUGGGUGGAAAGGGAGCGUAGACGGCAGGGCAAGGCUGCAGUGAAAUCCCAGGGCUUAACCAUGGAACUGCUUUGGAAACUGUGCAGCUGGAGUGCAGGAGAGGUAAGCGGAUUUCCUAUUCUAGCGGUGACAUGCUUAGAUAUUAGG
This 346-nucleotide ribosomal RNA is filed under the name uncultured bacterium. RNAcentral describes it as "partial 16S ribosomal RNA". It matches the Rfam family "Bacterial small subunit ribosomal RNA", at positions 338 to 701 of the family's 1533-position model. The record is from RNAcentral.